This is a non-coding RNA of Prunus avium (sweet cherry), 352 nucleotides long. The record is from RefSeq and is a predicted model, not a curated record. NCBI's taxonomy places the organism in Eukaryota, Viridiplantae, Streptophyta, Magnoliopsida, Rosales, Rosaceae.
CAUGGGAAGAAAAACUGGAAACGCCGUGGGAAAAGAAAAACAAAGAGACUUUUAUUUUGUAAGUCUUUUUAUAUAACAAAUUAAAAGGUCCAAGUUUUGGUCCUAAUCUAAUUUCUAAACAGCAAACGCUGACGCAAAGAAACAUUACCACCAAACAAGCAAACAAUCCCCCACACAAGAAAUCAAAGUGAGAAUAAGGAAAACCCACUCCCCAAAUUAUCUCAAUUUCUCUCCUCAAAUUCUCAAUCUUCGCAUUGCGGGGGCUUUGAUUCUCUUUCGAUACUGGGUUUUGACAGGAAAUUUUGAGGAUAAAGGACUUGAGUGAAGGGAUUAGGACAUCAGACAUGGCUGG